CCUACGGGCGGCAGCAGUGGGGAAUAUUGGACAAUGGGGGCAACCCUGAUCCAGCCAUGCCGCGUGUGUGAAGAAGGCCCUCGGGUUGUAAAGCACUUUCAGUGAGGAAGAACGCCUGGUGGUUAAUACCCAUCAGGAAAGACAUCACUCACAGAAGAAGCACCGGCUAACUCCGUGCCAGCAGCCGCGGUAAUACGGAGGAUGCGAGCGUUAAUCGGAAUUACUGGGCGUAAAGCGCGCGUAGGUGGCUUGAUAAGCCGGUUGUGAAAGCCCCGGGCUCAACCUGGGAACGGCAUCCGGAACUGUCAAGCUAGAGUGCAGGAGAGGAAGGUAGAAUUCCCGGUGUAGCGGUGAAAUGCGUAGAGAUCGGGAGGAAUACCAGUGGCGAAGGCGGCCUUCUGGACUGACACUGACACUGAGGUGCGAAAGCGUGGGUAGCAAACAGGAUUAGAUACCCGUGUAGUC
RNAcentral lists this ribosomal RNA (465 nucleotides) under Vreelandella stevensii. Its description in RNAcentral is "partial 16S ribosomal RNA". It matches the Rfam family "Bacterial small subunit ribosomal RNA", at positions 338 to 795 of the family's 1533-position model. The record is from RNAcentral. Lineage: Bacteria; Pseudomonadati; Pseudomonadota; Gammaproteobacteria; Oceanospirillales; Halomonadaceae.